RNAcentral lists this ribosomal RNA (400 nucleotides) under uncultured bacterium. RNAcentral's name for it is "bacterial SSU rRNA". It matches the Rfam family "Bacterial small subunit ribosomal RNA", at positions 60 to 481 of the family's 1533-position model. The record is from RNAcentral.
AGUCGAGCGGUAGAAUUAUUAUUGAGUCUUCGGAUGAUUUAAUAAUUUGAGAGCGGCGAACGGGUGAGUAACACGUUGGUAUCUGCCCCCAAGUCAGGGAUAGCCAUUGGAAACGAUGAUUAAUACCGGAUAGUCUCUUCGGAGUAAAGAUUUAUUGCUUGGGGAGGAACCUGCGUUCUAUCAGCUAGUUGGUGAGGUAAAAGCUCACCAAGGCUAUGACGGAUACCUGGUCUGAGAGGAUGAUCAGGCACAAUGGAACUGAGACACGGUCCAUACUCCUACGGGAGGCAGCAGUGAGGAAUCUUCCACAAUGGGCGAAAGCCUGAUGGAGCGACACCGCGUGAAGAUGAAGCUAACGGUUGUAAACUUCUUUUCUGAAGGAGCAUAAUGAGAGUACUUC